UACGUAGGGUGCGAGCGUUAAUCGGAAUUACUGGGCGUAAAGCGUGCGCAGGCGGUUCGUUAAGUUCGUUGUGAAAGCCCCGGGCUCAACCUGGGAACUGCAAUGGAAACUGGCGGGCUUGAAUGCGGCAGAGGGGGGUGGAAUUCCGCGUGUAGCAGUGAAAUGCGUAGAGAUGUGGAGGAACACCGAUGGCGAAGGCAGCCCCCUGGGUCAACACUGACGCUCAUGCACGAAAGCGUGGGGAGCAAACAGG
Molecule: ribosomal RNA, 253 nt
Filed under: uncultured bacterium
Lineage: Bacteria
Description: partial 16S ribosomal RNA
Rfam family: Bacterial small subunit ribosomal RNA
Source: RNAcentral